AGAGUUUGAUCCUGGCUCAGAACGAACGCUGGCGGCGUGCCUAACACAUGCAAGUCGUACGAGAAAAUCCGCUUCGGCGGGUGAGUAAAGUGGCGCACGGGUGAGUAACGCGUGGAUAAUCUGCCUUUAAGCGGGGAAUAACUUACCGAAAGGUGGGCUAAUACCCCAUAAAGCUAUGGAGCUCCGGUUUUCAUAGCCAAAGAGAGCCUCUGCAUGCAAGCCCUCACUUAGAGAUGAGUCCGCGUACCAUUAGCUAGUUGGUGGGGUAAUGGCCUACCAAGGCGACGAUGGUUAGCUGGUCUGAGAGGAUGAUCAGCCACACUGGAACUGAGACACGGUCCAGACUCCUACGGGAGGCAGCAGUGAGGAAUAUUGCGCAAUGGGGGCAACCCUGACGCAGCAACGCCGCGUGAGUGAGGAAGGUUUUCGGAUCGUAAAGCUCUGUCGGGUGGGAAGAAAUGUAUGGAGGUUAACAGCCUUUGUACUUGACGGUACCGCCAAAGGAAGCACCGGCUAACUCCGUGCCAGCAGCCGCGGUAAUACGGGGGGUGCUAGCGUUGUUCGGAAUCAUUGGGCGUAAAGAGCGUGUAGGCGGCUAGGCAAGUCAGAUGUGAAACCCCUGGGCUUAACCCAGGACGUGCAUUUGAAACUGCUUGGCUUGAGUAGGGAAGAGGGAAGUGGAAUUCCUGGUGUAGAGGUGAAAUUCGUAGAUAUCAGGAGGAACACCGGUGGCGAAGGCGACUUCCUGGUCCUAUACUGACGCUGAGACGCGAGAGCGUGGGGAGCAAACAGGAUUAGAUACCCCAGUAGUCCACGCCCUAAA
Molecule: ribosomal RNA, 823 nt
Filed under: uncultured bacterium
Lineage: Bacteria
Description: bacterial SSU rRNA
Rfam family: Bacterial small subunit ribosomal RNA
Source: RNAcentral